This 661-nucleotide long non-coding RNA is filed under the name Phaseolus vulgaris (common bean). Its description in RNAcentral is "long non-coding RNA (PVUL_LNC000139)". Lineage: Eukaryota; Viridiplantae; Streptophyta; Magnoliopsida; Fabales; Fabaceae. The record is from RNAcentral.
CACAAUGUCACUUUGAUAAAUUUAAACUCAUGUCAUACAUAUACAACUUCUUCAUAAUAAAGUCCUGUGGUAGUAAGAGGAUUUAUUCCUAGGUAAAUAAUUUAAAAUCUACCCAUUUCUAUAAUUUUUGUAAAAUUACACAAAUUUGAUAAAAUUACAGCAACAAAGCUAUUUGAUAUUAAAACAGAGAGACGAUAUUGAAGUUUCCAAGGGGAACUCUCUUCAGCAGGUACAAGAACGCGGAUUGUAAGUGAAGCACACUUGUAGAAAGCUGUCAUGGAGUAAAAGAUAAGUUACAUUGAAGACAUGAGAUCAUAGCCCUUACAAGAGGGUGCAUCAUGAACAUUAGGUUCUCUAGGGAAGCCAUUGCUUAGUUGUUCUUCGAGUUGAAGGAUGUGUCUAGUGCAUGGAUAGCAUGCAAUUGAAACAUAUGUAUGAGUCAGAAAAUUGAAGAAGCUUCGCAUGAAUCUUUGUCCCAUUUUAUCAGGCUAUCACCACCACCCCUAUCGAUCCAACUCAUGCCUUCUAAUUAGAGUUUCACCUUCAUCUUAAAUAAACCCAUAUUUGGGUUUUCCUUCUGCAAAUUAUUCACAAACAGCUUUAGAAAUAUACCACUGCUUUCUCCAAAUUCCUUUCUUAGCAAUAAUGAAAUUUUAUAUCA